GUGCGCUGAACUUUGGGCCCCGCGGGAGCAGCACGGUCACCAUUCCACGGGAGCGGCUGGCGGCUGGCGUGGAGUACACCUUCAGCCUGACCGUGUGGAAGGCCGGCCGCAAGGAGGAGGCCACCAACCAGACGGUGGGUGCCGCCCGCCCCUCGGCCACUUGCCUUGGACAGCCCAGCCUCCCUGCUCAUCUACUGUUUUCCAUGUUUUAGUGCUGGUGGAGGCCGCACGCUCUCCUCUCUCUGUUUCUGAUGCAAAUUCUAUGUAACACGACAGCCUGCUUCAGCUUUGCUUCCUUCCAAACCUGCCACAGUUCCACGUACAGUCUUCAAGCCACAUACACCCUAGUGGCAAAAGCUACACAGUCCCUCAGCAAUACCAACAGUGAGGAAGAGCCCCUUCCCACCCCAGAGGCAGCCACUGUCCCCAGCCCAUGUCCCUGUUGCUGGAUGUGGUGGGCCGGUUCUCACCCUCACGCUCCCCUCUCUGGACCGGCCAGGAGGCUUGGUGACCCUGAGCCCGUGGUGGCUGCUCCUGCUGCUGUCAGGCGGGGCCUGCUGGUGCCCCAGAGUGGGCGUCUGUUCCCCAGUCCCUGCUUUCCUCAGCUGGCCUGAUUGGGGGUCUGCCCAGAGGGGUCGUCUGAGGGGAGGGUGUGGGAGCAGGUUCCAUCCCGGCUCAGCCUCCUGACCCAGGCCCUGGCUAAGGGCUGCAGGAGUCUGUGAGUCAGGCCUACGUGGCAACUGCGGUCCUCACACCCACACAUACGUCUGUUCCCACACGCAUCCCCCCAGGGGCCCUCAGUGAGCAUUGCCUGCCUCCUGCCAGGCUCCAGCUGGGUCCAGUACACCAGAACACACCCCCCAGUGUCCUCUGCCCUGUGUAUGCCCUUCCGCCACCCAGGUUGGAAGGUGGCAAACCGGAUGAGUAUCCUGGGAGGGUUGAGCUCACCGGCAGUGGCCAGGCCCCUGGGAAAGCUGGAGUUUGGGAGCAGCAUCCUCCAUGGGUCCUCCAGACCUUCCAGCAGGCCAAGUAGACCUGUGUUGGAGGUAACCCCACUCCCACGCCAGGUGCUGAUCCGGAGUGGCCGGGUGCCCAUUGUGUCCUUGGAGUGUGUGUCCUGCAAGGCACAGGCCGUGUACGAAGUGAGCCGCAGCUCCUACGUGUACCUGGAGGGCCGCUGCCUCAAUUGCAGCAGUGGCUCCAAGCGAGGGCGGUGGGCUGCACGUACGUUCAGCAACAAGACGCUGGUGCUGGAUGAGACCACCACGUCCACGGGCAGCGCAGGCAUGCGACUGGUGCUGCGGCGGGGCGUGCUGCGGGACGGCGAGGGAUACACCUUCACGCUCACGGUGCUGGGCCGCUCUGGCGAGGAGGAGGGCUGCGCCUCCAUCCGCCUGUCCCCCAACCGCCCGCCGCUGGGGGGCUCUUGCCGCCUCUUCCCACUGGGCGCUGUGCACGCCCUCACUACCAAGGUGCACUUCGAAUGCACGGGUUGGCAUGACGCGGAGGAUGCUGGCGCCCCGCUGGUGUACGCCCUGCUGCUGCGGCGCUGUCGCCAGGGCCACUGCGAGGAGUUCUGUGUCUACAAGGGCAGCCUCUCCGGCUACGGAGCUGUGCUGCCCCCGGGUUUCAGGCCACACUUCGAGGUGGGCCUGGCCGUGGUGGUGCAGGACCAGCUGGGAGCCGCUGUGGUCGCCCUCAACAGGUGAGCCAGGCCGUGGGAGGGCGCCCCCGAGACUGCCACCUGCUCACCACCCCCCUCUGCUCGUAGGUCUCUGGCCAUCACCCUCCCAGAGCCUAACGGCAGUGCAACGGGGCUCACAGUCUGGCUGCACGGGCUCACCGCUAGUGUGCUCCCGGGGCUGCUGCGGCAGGCCGAUCCCCAGCACGUCAUCGAGUACUCGCUGGCCCUGGUCACCGUGCUGAACGAGCCACACCCACCGGGCCCUCUCCGGCGUCUGCUUUCCACAAUGCAGCCCCCGCCCAGGAGGGCCCAUGUGCUUACCCUGUUUUGCCCAUGAAGAGACAGCUCAGUGUUGCGGGUCAGUGCCCACAUCACACAGCAUCUAGCACGUAACUGCACCCCGGGAGUCGUGGGCAUCCGCUGGCCUCCUGCCGGCCUCCUGCCCUGCUGACAGCUUGCUGUGCCCCCUGCCUGCCCCAGUACGAGCAGGCCCUGGACGUGGCGGCAGAGCCCAAGCACGAGCGGCAGCGCCGAGCCCAGAUACGCAAGAACAUCACGGAGACUCUGGUGUCCCUGCGGGUCCACACUGUGGAUGACAUCCAGCAGAUCGCUGCUGCGCUGGCCCAGUGCAUGGGGCCCAGCAGGGAGCUCGUAUGCCGCUCAUGCCUGAAGCAGACGCUGCACAAGCUGGAGGCCAUGAUGCGCAUCCUGCAGGCAGAGACCACCGCGGGCACCGUGACGCCCACCGCCAUCGGAGACAGCAUCCUCAACAUCACAGGAGACCUCAUCCACCUGGCCAGCUCGGACGUGCGGGCACCACAGCCCUCAGAGCUGGGAGCCGAGUCACCAUCGCGGAUGGUGGCGUCCCAGGCCUACAACCUGACCUCUGCCCUCAUGCGCAUCCUCAUGCGCUCCCGCGUGCUCAACGAGGAGCCCCUGAUGCUGGCGGGCGAGGAGAUCGUGGCCCAGGGCAAGCGCUCGGACCCGCGGAGCCUGCUGUGCUAUGGCGGCGCCCCAGGGCCUGGCUGCCACUUCUCCAUCCCCGAGGCUUUCAGCGGGGCCCUGGCCAACCUCAGUGACGUGGUGCAGCUCAUCUUUCUGGUGGACUCCAAUCCCUUUCCCUUUGGCUAUAUCAGCAACUACACCGUCUCCACCAAGGUGGCCUCGAUGGCAUUCCAGACACAGGCCGGCGCCCAGAUCCCCAUCGAGCGGCUGGCCUCAGAGCGCGCCAUCACCGUGAAGGUGCCCAACAACUCGGACUUGGCUGCCCGGGGCCACCGCAGCUCCGCCAACUCCGUUGUGGUCCAGCCCCAGGCCUCCGUCGGUGCUGUGGUCACCCUGGACAGCAGCAACCCUGCGGCCGGGCUGCAUCUGCAGCUCAACUAUACGCUGCUGGACGGCCGCUACCUGUCUGAGGAACCCGAGCCCUACCUGGCAGUCUACCUGCACUCGGAGCCCCGGCCCAAUGAGCACAACUGCUCGGCUAGCAGGAGGAUCCGCCCAGAGUCACUCCAGGGUGCCGACCACCGGCCCUACACCUUCUUCAUUUCCCCGGGGAGCAGAGACCCAGCGGGGAGUUACCAUCUGAACCUCUCCAGCCACUUCCGCUGGUCAGUGCUGGAGGUGUCCGUGGGCCUGUACACGUCCCUGUGUCAGUACUUCAGCGAGGAGGACAUGGUGUGGAGGACAGAGGGGCUGCUGCCCCUGGAGGAGACCUCGCCCCGCCAGGCCGUCUGCCUCACCCGCCACCUCACCGCCUUCGGCGCCAGCCUCUUCGUGCCCCCAAGCCAUGUCCGCUUUGUCUUUCCGGAGCCGACAGCGGAUGUAAACUACAUCGUCAUGCUGACAUGUGCUGUGUGCCUGGUGACCUACAUGGUCAUGGCCGCCAUCCUGCACAAGCUGGACCAGUUGGAUGCCAGCCGAGGCCGCGCCAUCCCCUUCUGUGGGCAGCGGGGCCGCUUCAAGUACGAGAUCCUCGUCAAGACAGGCUGGGGCCGGGGCUCAGGUACCACGGCCCACGUGGGCAUCAUGCUGUAUGGGGUGGACAGCCGGAGUGGCCACCGGCACCUGGACGGCGACAGAGCCUUCCACCGCAACAGCCUGGACAUCUUCCGGAUCGCCACCCCGCAUAGCCUGGGUAGCGUGUGGAAGAUCCGAGUGUGGCACGACAACAAAGGGCUCAGCCCUGCCUGGUUCCUGCAGCACAUCAUCGUCAGGGACCUGCAGACGGCACGCAGCGCCUUCUUCCUGGUCAAUGACUGGCUUUCGGUGGAGACGGAGGCCAACGGGGGCCUGGUGGAGAAGGAGGUGCUGGCCGCGAGCGACGCAGCCCUGUUGCGCUUCCGGCGCCUGCUGGUGGCUGAGCUGCAGCGCGGCUUCUUUGACAAGCACAUCUGGCUCUCCAUAUGGGACCGGCCGCCUCGUAGCCGUUUCACUCGCAUCCAGAGGGCCACCUGCUGCGUUCUCCUCAUCUGCCUCUUCCUGGGCGCCAACGCCGUGUGGUACGGGGCUGUUGGCGACUCUGCCUACAGCACGGGGCGUGUGUCCAGGCUGAGCCCGCUGAGUGUCGACACAGUCGCUGUUGGCCUGGUGUCCAGCGUGGUUGUCUAUCCCGUCUACCUGGCCAUCCUCUUUCUCUUCCGGAUGUCCCGGAGCAAGGUGGCUGGGAGCCCGAGCCCCACACCUGCCGGGCAGCAGGUGCUGGACAUCGACAGCUGCCUGGACUCGUCCGUGCUGGACAGCUCCUUCCUCACGUUCUCAGGCCUCCACGCUGAGGUGAGGGCUCUACUGG
Molecule: small RNA, 4475 nt
Filed under: Pan troglodytes (chimpanzee)
Lineage: Eukaryota; Metazoa; Chordata; Mammalia; Primates; Hominidae
Description: retained intron
Source: RNAcentral